This is a long non-coding RNA of Homo sapiens (human), 257 nucleotides long. RefSeq lists it as uncharacterized. NCBI's taxonomy places the organism in Eukaryota, Metazoa, Chordata, Mammalia, Primates, Hominidae. The transcript is spliced from 3 exons. The record is from RefSeq and is a predicted model, not a curated record.
GGGAGUUACAGUGUUGGCUGGGGUGAUUGACCCGGAAUAUCAAGACAAAAUUAGUCUACUACUCCAUAACAAAGGUAAGAAAAUCAGAGCAAAGGAAGUUUGAGUAAUGCACCCUGGCUCCCAUAAAUGGUAGAUGCAGAGCUCAAACCCACAUGGCUGACUCCAGACCUCAAUGAAGAACACGUUCCUGUUUUCCUGGGUGGUUCACCAUUUUGCCUGUUGUCCCAGGCCCCCAUGCAUUUGAAAGGAAGAGAAGG